This is a long non-coding RNA of Patella vulgata (common limpet), 2717 nucleotides long. RefSeq lists it as uncharacterized. The record is from RefSeq and is a predicted model, not a curated record. NCBI's taxonomy places the organism in Eukaryota, Metazoa, Mollusca, Gastropoda, Patellidae. The transcript has 4 exons.
AUUAUGAACACUCGGCAAACCUCGGAAAAUUUCCGGUACUCUAGAAUCUGUCGAGGUUUGCCGACUGAAUUUUGAACAGUCGGGAUUCAUGGUGAACUAUGGAAGCCUAUUGCGGCCAUUUCAGAAUCUCGUCUUCUCUCCGCGAGAAGUCGAGGGCGAGAACACGAGAAGACGAGAAAAUAGGGCGAGAAUACGAGGAUCUCGCCCCGAGAACACGAGAUUACUUUCACCUCGACUUCUCAUGUUCUCGUCCCUCGACUUCUCGCUCCCUCGUGUUCUCGCCUUUGAAAAACCUUGUGUUCUCGCACUCUCGCCCUCGACUUCUCGCCCUCGUCUUCUUGCCUUUGAAAAACCUUGUGUUCUCGCUCCCUCGCCUUUGGGCUAAUCUCGUCUUCUCGUGGUCUCGCUCCCUCGCUUCGUCACAAUCUCGACUUCUCGCCUAGGAAGUGCAGUUUAUACGCAUGUCCACUGACUACCGUAUCAGCAUUUAUAUUUGGAAAUGUAUGAAGGUCUAGAAAAUUUAAUAGUCCUAAACCAUUUUAAUCUCUUCUUGCACAGAUAAUAUUGUAUUCUGUAAUCGAUUUUAAAAGGCUUCGGUCGAAUCUUUCGUUGCCCUCUAACUUCAUCAACCUUCAUCGGGUUUUUUGAUGCGUGGUCUUGUCAGUGUUGUAGAAUGUAGAGUCUGACAAGGGACAACGCAUAGUCGUUCGAAUGGGAUUAAAAACACGAGGUCCCGUGCCUGUAAUCAAUAUGAAGUUGGUUCUACGGUGGCCCAGUGAGUAGGAUGUUUGGCCUCUAACUUCAUCAAAGUUCGUCGUGAUUUUUCUGGCGAUGUCCACCCUAGGACGGAGGGCCUGAGAAGGGACAACGUAUAGCGUUCGGGAAUACAAAUAACCGAGAUCCCGUGUCCGGAAUCUAAAUGAAGUGUGAGCUACGAUGACUCAGUGAGUAGGACGUUUGCUCUCUUACUUCAUCAAAGUUCUCAUUUUUCGGUCUUGGUUCCGGCUUGUCAGUGGUAUAGUCGUUCGAUUGGUAUAAAUAAAAAACGAGAUUCCUUGUCCGAAAUCGAAUGAAGUGAGGGCUACGGUGGCUCAGUGAGUAGCACGUUUGCCCUCUAACUUCAUCAAAGUUUAUCGUGAUUUUUCUGGCUAUGUCCACCCUUGUCAGUGGCGUAGGACGAAGCGUCUGGCAAGAGACAAUGAACCGAGCUACCAUGUCCGGAAUCUAAAUGAAGUAGGAGCUACGGUGGGUCAGUGAGUGGGACGUUUGCACUCUUAGUCUUACUUCACUUCAGUGGAGUAGGAGGAAAGCCCUGGCAAGGGACCGCGUACACUGUAAGCCUUUUCUGUAAUUUUUACAAUUUUAUUGUUUCUGUAAAACGCAUACAGCGCAGUUCUGUUAUCCUGAUAACAGAUUCAAGUCUGUAAAUAUUUGAGAAUUCGAAAUUUUUCCCGUAAAUAUGACAUACGGGUGCUUAAAUUAGAGUGACGUCAUCGGUCUUCCUGGGCGCCAUUACUGCGAAUACCGUUAGUUAGAGGCAAAGAGGAAUCCCACUGCUGGCUCUGCAUCGAGCACAAUAGUUGAACCAUAGAUGGUAUAGUUCUAUGGUUGAACACUACAGUCAAUACCCAACAUUACAGUUUUAGGCACAACUUAUUGCAUCUCCAUUCCUGUCAUCUAUUGAGUAGCCUACCCAGCCUUUCUCUGGGUGACUGAAAUUUUUUCAAAGGUGCAUUUUUGAAAUAAACCCAGAUAACGGACAGAAAUCAUGAAAAAGAGGAAGACUCAAGUGUGCCAAAAAGUGAUAUAACUAAUUACUGAACCGUCAAACUUUGAAUGGAUGAAGUAUGGUUGCAGCAAUAUACUGGUACCGUGAGAUGGUAUACGGUGGUUUAGAUGUCACAUUUCGGGUCAAGGUGUCUAUUCCAGGGUGUGACAAAUUAAGAAAUAUAUUAAAAUGGCUGGGGUCAGACACAAAGUUACUGCUAAGUAAAAUGGCCUCAACAGUUAUCCGCCGAAGGACGCUAGGCAGUUUCAGUUCCAGUGACCCACGUGAUCUGUCACUGUCAAAUGUAUCCUCGAGCUCGUGUUCGACGCGUUCAACACCAGAAUCUGUCUCCCAGACAUCAUCAAGAAUACCAGUGCCCGUACGUGUAACGGUACCCCGCGAUGUGGAAUCGCCCUCUACUUCUGAGGAACAGUCCCUCCUGCAGGCGCUGCCCGAUUUACAAGAUGGUGAAAUUAUAUGUAGGGAGCUAUUUAGGACACCAAAUCGGAACAGGCAGAAAACACUUUCGGCAGUAGAAAGAUACAUGCAGACAAUGAACAAAAAGCAGCAUGAGUUACAGCAAGAAGUGAAAGGGCUGCGAAAAGAAUUAAAAGACAUGAAUAACCUUGUUGUUUUGAUACUACAAAGACUCCCCCCUCAUGGCGAGGGAAGAAGAAGAAGAGAAGAAAUGGGCGAGGGAACAGAUCAGCACAUACCACAAGCACCUAGUCCCCAGGCCGCCACACAGACACUGCCAACGACUGAAACUGUAACAUCAAAAUUCAGUGAUAUCCCACCGGAAUUUCGUAUUUCUACAGAAGAUCUCAAAGCAAUGCACCUCCAUGCUUUUAAUGCCGGUCAUUUCGCAACAAAGGUAGUACAACGGCUUUUUCCGGAACUGACCGGACCCGACAACUUGCGGGGGAAAUAUUCGUAUUUCCGGGGGGGG